GACGAACGCUGGCGGCGUGCUUAACACAUGCAAGUCGAACGGAAAGGCCCUGCUUUUGUGGGGUGCUCGAGUGGCGAACGGGUGAGUAACACGUGAGUAACCUGCCCUUGUCUUUGGGAUAACUUCAGGAAACUGGGGCUAAUACCGGAUAGGAUCUCCUGCUGCAUGGUGGGGGUUGGAAAGUUUCGGCGGUUGGGGAUGGACUCGCGGCUUAUCAGCUUGUUGGUGGGGUAGUGGCUUACCAAGGCUUUGACGGGUAGCCGGCCUGAGAGGGUGACCGGCCACAUUGGGACUGAGAUACGGCCCAGACUCGUACGGGAGGCAGCAGUGGGGAAUAUUGCACAGUGGGCGGAAGCCUGAUGCAGCAACGCCGCGUGCGGGAUGACGGCCUUCGGGUUGUAAACCGCUUUCGCCUGUGACGAAGCGUGAGUGACGGUAAUGGGUAAAGAAGCACCGGCUAACUACGUG
Molecule: ribosomal RNA, 468 nt
Filed under: uncultured bacterium
Lineage: Bacteria
Description: partial 16S ribosomal RNA
Rfam family: Bacterial small subunit ribosomal RNA
Source: RNAcentral